UAACCUCAUUGGUUGAUAUCUUUGGCGGAAGUACAUGUGAUACAUCCUCAUUCUUUCAAUAUCCAAGCUGUGGGAAGGUCGUGCUCCACGUGUUGUCGGCAAAGUAACUAUAUUCUUUAACUUUUACUUACAUUUGCCUUGGUGGCUUUAAGACCUUGGUGGUCAUUUAUAUAUGCCUUGGUGGCAAAAGACCUAGGUGGUCAUUUAUAUAUGCCUUGGUGGCAAUAGACCUAGGUGGUCAUUUUUAUAUGCCUUGGUGGCAAUAGACCUAGGUGGUCAUUUUUAUGAUUUUUUACAUUUGCCUUGAUGGGAACAAUGAAUUAAAAAUACUAGCCUUGGGGGCGUCAAGACCUUGGUGGUCAUUUAUAUUUGCCUUGGCGGCUUCUUGAUAGAACUAGAUGGUAAUGUUUGACCUUGGUGGCAAAAAUGUUUUGGGAUUUAGACCUUAAUAGGUAGUUAUUAUCAACCCAGGUGGUCAGAUAUUUGUUAUGCCGUGCGCCGGUUAAACGCAGGGCAAAGUGCUAUCGCUAUAUAAAAUAUAUGUGGAAGUGGGGGCUCUGGCCAUUUUGGAAAUUGUAGUUGAAAGGAGAAUAAUAAAUUGUUUAUAGGGUAAAUAGUUUCUUUUGUUACUUUUGACUGUGUUGUGGACUUUUCAUUUAUUUUUACAUCGUACAUACUGAUAGAAAUGCUAUUUAAAGACUUUGUUAGAAAAGAAUAGAAUUAUUGAGAAAGUGGAAUAAUUUAGUGUGACAUGUCACUUGAUAUUCAUGUUUUUUAUCGGAGUGAUGUGUAUUGAAUUAUAAGGUGUCUUCGUCGAGGUCCGCGUUCAGCGGUCUGUUUGAUUGUACAUAGAAUUGAAUAGAAUGUUUUUUGUUUUCAGAUGGUGUUACCUACAGCUUUGACAGGGUGACGAAUGAAGGAGAAGUAAUAUGACAUUGCACGAUGAUUCAUGUCAAUGAGUUCGAACAACCUUUUUAAAAGGAAAGGAUUUUUUCUAAUCAGAAUAUGGUGAGAACAAAUUACAAUUGAAGUAAUGUUUUGAUUUCUGAAAAUAGGAAAAUAAUGAAUGGGGAAAAUAUUGAUACUACACUAAAUUAUGUAUGUCUGUGUUGAGAAAGGCAGAAGAUGCCAAUAUGGCACGGUACUAAAAAAAAAAAAAAAAAAAAAAAAUCUGUGAUGGAAGCAGCUUUAUGUUCAAAUGAACCUAUUUAAAAGUAAUGCUAAUAAUUUUUUCCGUAAUUUCAUGAUGUUUUCUAUUGGAUGUGUAUAUUUAAUUUCAUUGAUGUGUUGAAAUAUGUCACAAAAAUCUUUUUGUCAUGGGAGAUUAAAUAAUGGUUGCAAUAUUUUUGUUUUGUUUUGUUUUAUCUAAAUUAAUAAAUAAAUAUAAUGUUGAAUGAUUUUGUAUACUAGUACAAAUGUAUACUUAAAUUUUAUGUAUGGUUAAAUUUUUUUAAUUUAAAUUUCUUUGUCUACAGUUCGAGGGACACUGAUUCCCUAGUGGUUUUCCACGUGGAUUGUAGGCAAAGGGAUUUUUCCUUUUCAAAGUGUGACUAAUGCUGUCUUUAGUACAAAUAAACAAUUUGUUAUUGGUUAAUAUAUUUUCAGCAGACAUGUGAAGAAUCGAGUGGAAAUACAAUUGUCAAUGUUCCUGAUUAUGAAGUAAAGAGUGUGUUUGAUUCAACAACAGUAAAGAAAGAGACAAGCCAGCAUAGUUUUACACUUGGAGGUUAAGUCCCUUUGCUUACAAGCUUUCCACAUGCUGAAGAUGUUAUUAGAAUAAUGACAAUGUUCAUUUUGAUAUGAGUUCAUUGCCUUAACUCAACUUUUAAAAGUCCGUAUGUGGUCAAAUUCAUGAGAAUUUAUUGAAUUAUGAACGAUUUAUAAAGAACUGUUUACAUGCAUCUUUAAAUGUUUAGAAGUGUUUUAAAGUAAUUUUAAAAGGAAUAAUAUUUAAUAAAAGUGUUGAAUUUGUUUUGAGUAUUGGGAAUACUAUUCCUUAAGGGAAAGCCUUGCUAGUGGUGUAUUUUGAGAUUGGCCUGCAAAUAUGCUGUAUGGACUAUAGAGUUUUCUAUGCCCAUAACUUAACAUGAACUGGAUGCAAGAUUAUAUCAAUCACUGAGGAUAUGUGUAUAACCUCAUUGGUUGAUAUCUUUGGCGGAAGUACAUGUGAUACAUCCUCAUUCUUUCAAUAUCCAAGUGGUGGUUGGUUUAAGGGCUAUGUUUGGUCAGGCAAUACAUAUUGCCUGUUUGGGUUGAUGAGGUUCUUGAUAAGUUCCCCCCUCUCCCACCCAUAAGUACCAAAAUGUGGAUAUGUUUUUAUAUUUAUAUUUCAAUAUUGGUAUUACAUGUAUGCAUUUUGGGUUGAUGAGCACGAGACAACAUUAGAAAAACAUGAGCAUUACCAUGGGAUCAUGUUGACAAAACAAACCUUCGCUUUAUCGAUUUUCAAGGGAAAGGUCAAUUAGGGCAAGUGUAUUGGCAUGUUUGUGUUUGCUUUUUCAUUACAAUGGUAAAAAUAAGAUUAUAUAUCUCUGAUGACAAAAAUUUUGAUUAUAAUGCUUCAUUUUAUGAGCUCCAGAGUAGUUUUAUAACUGAAAAACAACUGUGCACUAUAUCUAGUGAGCUCUUCUGCAUUGCAUUGUGCAUUGUAGUCCACAUUUUGGUUUCUGAAACGUUAAGAUAUUAUCUUGUAUUCGGUUCUUUCC
RNAcentral lists this long non-coding RNA (2705 nucleotides) under Mytilus galloprovincialis (Mediterranean mussel). Lineage: Eukaryota; Metazoa; Mollusca; Bivalvia; Mytilida; Mytilidae. The record is from RNAcentral.